This 476-nucleotide ribosomal RNA is filed under the name uncultured bacterium. RNAcentral's name for it is "bacterial SSU rRNA". It matches the Rfam family "Bacterial small subunit ribosomal RNA", at positions 26 to 518 of the family's 1533-position model. The record is from RNAcentral.
AGGACGAACGCUGGCGGCGUGCCUAACACAUGCAAGUCGAGCGAGGAGAUCCUUCGGGAUGAUCCUAGCGGCGGACGGGUGAGUAACACGUGGGCAACCUGCCUCAUAGAGAGGAAUAGCCUUCCGAAAGGGAGAUUAAUACCUCAUAACAUUGCAGUUUCGCAUGGAACAGCAAUUAAAGGAGCAAUCCGCUAUGAGAUGGGGCCCGCGGCGCAUUAGCUAGUUGGUGAGGUAACGGCUCACCAAGGCGACGAUGCGUAGCCGACCUGAGAGGGUGAUCGGCCACAUUGGGACUGAGACACGGCCCAGACUCCUACGGGAGGCAGCAGUGGGGAAUAUUGCACAAUGGGGGAAACCUUGAUGCAGCCAACGCCGCGUGAGUGAUGACGGCCUUCGGGUUGUAAAGCUCUGUCUUCAGGGACGAUAAUGACGGUACCUGAGGAGGAAGCCACGGCUAACUACGUGCCAGCAGCAGC